GAUGAACGCUGGCGGCGUGCCUAAUACAUGCAAGUCGAGCGAACAGACGAGGAGCUUGCUCCUCUGACGUUAGCGGCGGACGGGUGAGUAACACGUGGAGAACCUACCUAUAAGACUGGGAUAACUUCGGGAAACCGGAGCUAAUACCGGAUAAUAUAUUGAACCGCAUGGUUCAAUAGUGAAAGACGGUUUUGCUGUCACUGAUAGAUGGAUCCGCGCCGCAUUAGCUAGUUGGUAAGGUAACGGCUUACCAAGGCAACGAUGCGUAGCCGACCUGAGAGGGUGACCGGCCACACUGGAACUGAGACACGGUCCAGACUCCUACGGGAGGCAGCAGUAGGGAAUCUUCCGCAAUGGGCGAAAGCCUGACGGAGCAACGCCGCGUGAGUGAUGAAGGUCUUCGGAUCGUAAAACUCUGUUAUUAGGGAAGAACAAAUGUGUAAGUAACUAUGCACGUCUUGACGGUACCUAAUCAGAAAGCCACGGCUAACUACGUG
This 497-nucleotide ribosomal RNA is filed under the name uncultured bacterium. RNAcentral's name for it is "partial 16S ribosomal RNA". It matches the Rfam family "Bacterial small subunit ribosomal RNA", at positions 28 to 507 of the family's 1533-position model. The record is from RNAcentral.